GAUGAACUGAGGGUAGCGGAGAAAUUCCAAUCGAACCUGGAGAUAGCUGGUUCUCUCCGAAAUAGCUUUAGGGCUAGCCUCAAGUGAUGAUUAUUGGAGGUAGAGCACUGUUUGGACGAGGGGCCCCUCUCGGGUUACCGAAUUCAGACAAACUCCGAAUGCCAAUUAAUUUAACUUGGGAGUCAGAACAUGGGUGAUAAGGUCCGUGUUCGAAAGGGAAACAGCCCAGACCACCAGCUAAGGUCCCAAAAUAUAUGUUAAGUGGAAAAGGAUGUGGCGUUGCCCAGACAACUAGGAUGUUGGCUUAGAAGCAGCCAUAAUUUAAAGAGUGCGUAAUAGCUCACUAGUCGAGUGACACUGCGCCGAAAAUGUACCGGGGAUAAACAUAUUACCGAAGCUGUGGAUUGUCCUUUGGACAAUGGUAGGAGAGCGUUCUAAGGGCGUUGAAGCAUGAUCGUAAGGACAUGUGGAG
This 472-nucleotide ribosomal RNA is filed under the name Ligilactobacillus animalis. Its description in RNAcentral is "Lactobacillus animalis partial 23S ribosomal RNA". It matches the Rfam family "Bacterial large subunit ribosomal RNA", at positions 803 to 1278 of the family's 2925-position model. Lineage: Bacteria; Bacillati; Bacillota; Bacilli; Lactobacillales; Lactobacillaceae. The record is from RNAcentral.